RNAcentral lists this ribosomal RNA (469 nucleotides) under uncultured bacterium. RNAcentral's name for it is "partial 16S ribosomal RNA". It matches the Rfam family "Bacterial small subunit ribosomal RNA", at positions 28 to 507 of the family's 1533-position model. The record is from RNAcentral.
GACGAACGCUGGCGGCGUGCUUAACACAUGCAAGUCGAACGAUGAAGCGCCAGCUUGCUGGUGUGGAUUAGUGGCGAACGGGUGAGUAACACGUGAGUAACCUGCCCCCUACUCUGGGAUAAGCCUGGGAAACUGGGUCUAAUACUGGAUAUGACCAAUCACUGCAUGGUGUGUUGGUGGAAAGAUUUUUGGGUGGGGGAUGGACUCGCGGCCUAUCAGCUUGUUGGUGGGGUAAUGGCCUACCAAGGCGACGACGGGUAGCCGGCCUGAGAGGGCGACCGGCCACACUGGGACUGAGACACGGCCCAGACUCCUACGGGAGGCAGCAGUGGGGAAUAUUGCACAAUGGGCGAAAGCCUGAUGCAGCGACGCCGCGUGAGGGAUGACGGCCUUCGGGUUGUAAACCUCUUUCACCAGGGACGAAGCUAACGUGACGGUACCUGGAGAAGAAGCACCGGCUAACUACGUG